AGAGUUUGAUCCUGGCUCAGAUUGAACGCUGGCGGCAUGCCUUACACAUGCAAGUCGAACGGCAGCACGGGAGCAAUCCUGGUGGCGAGUGGCGAACGGGUGAGUAAUACAUCGGAACGUGCCCAAUCGUGGGGGAUAACGCAGCGAAAGCUGUGCUAAUACCGCAUAAGAUCUACGGAUGAAAGCAGGGGAUCGCAAGACCUUGCGCGAAUGGAGCGGCCGAUGGCAGAUUAGGUAGUUGGUGAGGUAAAGGCUCACCAAGCCUUCGAUCUGUAGCUGGUCUGAGAGGACGACCAGCCACACUGGGACUGAGACACGGCCCAGACUCCUACGGGAGGCAGCAGUGGGGAAUUUUGGACAAUGGGCGAAAGCCUGAUCCAGCCAUGCCGCGUGCAGGAUGAAGGCCUUCGGGUUGUAAACUGCUUUUGUACGGAACGAAAAGUCUCUUUCUAAUAAAGAGGGAUCAUGACGGUACCGUAAGAAUAAGCACCGGCUAACUACGUGCCAGCAGCCGCGGUAAUACGUAGGGUGCAAGCGUUAAUCGGAAUUACUGGGCGUAAAGCGUGCGCAGGCGGUUAUAUAAGACAGUUGUGAAAUCCCCGGGCUCAACCUGGGAACUGCAUCUGUGACUGUAUAGCUAGAGUACGGUAGAGGGGGAUGGAAUUCCGCGUAGCAGUGAAAUGCGUAGAUAUGCGGAGGAACACCGAUGGCGAAGGCAAUCCCCUGGACCUGUACUGACGCUCAUGCACGAAAGCGUGGGGAGCAAACAGGAUUAGAUACCCUAGUAGUCC
This 791-nucleotide ribosomal RNA is filed under the name uncultured bacterium. RNAcentral describes it as "bacterial SSU rRNA". It matches the Rfam family "Bacterial small subunit ribosomal RNA", at positions 8 to 796 of the family's 1533-position model. The record is from RNAcentral.